AACGCACAUUGCGCCCGCCAGUAUUCUGGCGGGCAUGCCUGUUCGAGCGUCAUUUCAACCAUCAAGCCCCCGGCUUGUGUUGGGGACCUGCGGCUGCCGCAGGCCCUGAAAUCCAGUGGCGGGCUCGCCGUAGCACCGAGCGUAGUAGCACACUUCUCGCUCCGGUAGCAGCGGCGGGCGCCUGCCGUAAAACCCCUAUCUCAAGGUUGACCUCGGAUCAGGUAGGAAUACCCGCUGAACUUAA
RNAcentral lists this unclassified non-coding RNA (244 nucleotides) under uncultured Sordariales. RNAcentral describes it as "sequence contains 5.8S rRNA gene, ITS2, 28S rRNA gene". The stretch from base 1 to 52 matches the Rfam family "5.8S ribosomal RNA", at positions 103 to 154 of the family's 154-position model. Lineage: Eukaryota; Fungi; Ascomycota; Sordariomycetes; Sordariales. The record is from RNAcentral.